GAUGAACGCUGGCGGCGUGCCUAAUACAUGCAAGUCGAGCGAACAGAUAAGGAGCUUGCUCCUUUGACGUUAGCGGCGGACGGGUGAGUUACACGUGGAUAACCUACCUAUAAGACUGGGAUAACUUCGGGAAACCGGAGCUAAUACCGGAUAACAUAAUGAACCGCAUGGUUCAAUAGUGAAAGGCGGCUUUGCUGUCACUUAUAGAUGGAUCCGCGCCGUAUUAGCUAGUUGGUAAGGUAACGGCUUACCAAGGCAACGAUACGUAGCCGACCUGAGAGGGUGAUCGGCCACACUGGAACUGAGACACGGUCCAGACUCCUACGGGAGGCAGCAGUAGGGAAUCCUCCGCAAUGGGCGAAAGCCUGACGGAGCAACGCCGCGUGAGUGAUGAAGGUCUUCGGAUCGUAAAACUCUGUUAUCAGGGAAGAACAAAUGUGUAAGUAACUGUGCACAUCUUGACGGUACCUGAUCAGAAAGCCACGGCUAACUACGUG
This 497-nucleotide ribosomal RNA is filed under the name uncultured bacterium. RNAcentral's name for it is "partial 16S ribosomal RNA". It matches the Rfam family "Bacterial small subunit ribosomal RNA", at positions 28 to 507 of the family's 1533-position model. The record is from RNAcentral.